RNAcentral lists this ribosomal RNA (468 nucleotides) under uncultured Sinobacteraceae bacterium. RNAcentral's name for it is "bacterial SSU rRNA". It matches the Rfam family "Bacterial small subunit ribosomal RNA", at positions 335 to 795 of the family's 1533-position model. The record is from RNAcentral. Lineage: Bacteria; Pseudomonadati; Pseudomonadota; Gammaproteobacteria; Nevskiales; Nevskiaceae.
UUUCCUACGGGCGGCUGCAGUGGGGAAUAUUGGACAAUGGGGGCAACCCUGAUCCAGCGACGCCGCGUGUGUGAAGAAGGCCUGCGGGUUGUAAAGCACUUUUAGUGGGGAGGAAGGUCUGCGACCUAACACGUCGUGGAAUUGACUUAACCCACAGAAAAAGCACCGGCUAACUCUGUGCCAGCAGCCGCGGUAAUACAGAGGGUGCAAGCGUUAAUCGGAAUUACUGGGCGUAAAGCGUGCGUAGGCGGUUUUGUAAGUCGGAUGUGAAAGCCCCGGGCUCAACCUGGGAAUUGCAUUCGAGACUGCGAAGCUGGAGUGCGGAAGAGGGAAGUGGAAUUUCCGGUGUAGCGGUGAAAUGCGUAGAUAUCGGAAGGAACAUCAGUGGCGAAAGCGACUUCCUGGUCCAGCACUGACGCUCAGGCACGAAAGCGUGGGGAGCAAACAGGAUUAGAUACCCGUGUAGUC